GACAGCGUGGUGUUGUAGGGCUCCACCACUGUGUCCGACACCUUGGGCGAGGGCACCAUGCUGAAGGUGUUCAUGAUGUGGUCAGGGUACUCCUCGCGGACCUUGCUGAUG
Vicugna pacos (alpaca) is the source of this 111-nucleotide microRNA precursor. The record is from Ensembl. Lineage: Eukaryota; Metazoa; Chordata; Mammalia; Artiodactyla; Camelidae.